CCUACGGGGGGCUGCAGUAGGGAAUCUUCCGCAAUGGACGAAAGUCUGACGGAGCAACGCCGCGUGAGUGAAGAAGGUUUUCGGAUCGUAAAACUCUGUUGUCAGAGAAGAACAAGUUGGAGAGUAACUGCUCCAGCCUUGACGGUAUCUGACCAGAACGCCACGGCUAACUACGUGCCAGCAGCCGCGGUAAUACGUAGGUGACUUGUGUUGUCCGGAUUUAUUGGGCGCGGUGCGAGAACUCUGGGGUGAAAGCCCACGGCUCAACCGGGGAAGGUCAUUGGAAACUGGGGAACUUGAGUGCAGAAGAGGAGAGUGGAAUUCCAUGUGUAGCGGUGAAAUGCGUAGAUAUAUGGAGGAACACCAGUGGCGAAGGCGACUCUCUGGUCUGUAACUGACGCUGAGGCUCGAAAGCGUGGGGAGCAAACAGGAUUAGAUACCCCGGUAGUC
This 450-nucleotide ribosomal RNA is filed under the name uncultured bacterium. RNAcentral's name for it is "partial 16S ribosomal RNA". It matches the Rfam family "Bacterial small subunit ribosomal RNA", at positions 338 to 795 of the family's 1533-position model. The record is from RNAcentral.